AUGUGUACAGAAAAGCAAAGAGGGGGCAAGGGGAAGAAAGGCAGCACUGGCAGUGGGGUGGGAAGGACAGAAGUCCUUCCCUGCUGCUUUGCAGGUGGGGAGAAGGGAGGGAUGGGGGACAGGAGCGGAGGGCUCAGGGACGCGCAGUCAUCCCGCCCCAGGAGCCUCGCUCUGCUUCUAUCCCCAUCCCUAACUAGUCCCCCUCUCCCUGUCCUCCAGAAAAUUUUCCUGAUGGGAGAGACUCCCAGGGAGGGGAGCAACCUGCGCUUGGUCCAUAAGAUCAUAAGGAGAGUGUUUUUUACUCGCAUCGUCCAGGUCACCCCAGCACCUGGGGUGGCAGAAAUCAACAAGCAAGUACAAGAGAGAGAACGCUGCUUCCGGUACAUCCUUUACGAGCUCCGUGGGAUCCAGGCCGAAGACGAUCUCCCGGUGGCCAACCUCGGGAGGACUAUGUACCUACACAUCCACUCCUCCCGCACCCUGGCCUGGAAGACCCUCUUCCUGAAAGUCCUGACCCUGCUCACCUGCCACCAUCCUCAGGCCACGGUGCUGCUUUUACUAGAGCACUCGCUGCCCCUGGACGGGUACACCCCGCCCCACUGCUGGCCGGGUAUAGAGAGAUCCCAGCCGGGCCGGCCCCAGAUGGGCCCACUCCAGAUCCCUCCUUCGCGACUGCCUGCCCCAACUUUUCUCCCUGAGAGGGCCUGA
RNAcentral lists this long non-coding RNA (708 nucleotides) under Ornithorhynchus anatinus (platypus). Its description in RNAcentral is "lncRNA (ENSOANG00000035144.2)". The record is from RNAcentral. Lineage: Eukaryota; Metazoa; Chordata; Mammalia; Monotremata; Ornithorhynchidae.